Long non-coding RNA from Triticum dicoccoides, 223 nucleotides. RefSeq lists it as uncharacterized. The transcript is spliced from 3 exons. The record is from RefSeq and is a predicted model, not a curated record. NCBI's taxonomy places the organism in Eukaryota, Viridiplantae, Streptophyta, Magnoliopsida, Poales, Poaceae.
AUCUAAUAUGGUAUUCUGGUUGUUUAUGCAGCUGAAGAAAAUGUGCAAGGAGGGCGCAUAUUGGGGUGCUGUUGCUGGAGUGUAUGUAGGCAUGGAGUAUGGAGUGGAAAGGGUCCGCGGAGAGUAUGACUGGAUGCGGCAGCUCAAGGGCGAGGUCGACAUCUUCUCCAGGGCCGACGGGUCGGCGCUGUUCGAGAUGGGCAACACCAGGGUCAUCGCCGCC